Molecule: long non-coding RNA, 791 nt
Organism: Homo sapiens (human)
Lineage: Eukaryota; Metazoa; Chordata; Mammalia; Primates; Hominidae
Product: long intergenic non-protein coding RNA 112
Source: Ensembl
AGUCCUGGGGGUAGGGAGUGGGGCAGGCAGCUUCACUGGGCCCUUUAUCUGCCUGAUUCUCAUCUUUCUUACACAAUAGUCUACUCAUUAUUCCUUCCCUAAGGGCCAGGACACAGGCCUGCCUGGGGUUACAGUCCCUGUCUUUACAAGUCCUCUCCUUCUGGCUCUUGGGCGUGCCUGAGCUCAAAGGAGCCUCCAAGCAAACUUGGCAGGGGGUGUCCCCCAGGGCAGAGAUGGGGGCCCCUGCGGUGGGCAGAAUAACGGCCACUGCAAAGAUGCCAAAUCUUAUCCCCAGAGCUUCCGCAGAGAUCCUGCAGAUGUGAUUCGAGUCUUCCAGCAACACCACCUCACUCUGCUUUGCACAAUCACUCCACCUCCCCACAUGUUGCGGAGAUUCUCCUGGCUGUGACACGGGAAACAUCCUCCACCAGGUCUUCUCUCACAGUGUGGCCUCUGCGCACAGGUUAUCCACCUGUAGACCUGGACGGGACCCUCGAGGCUCCCUACUCUGACCAUCUGGUUUUAUAGUUGAGGAACCAGAAGCCGAGGCAGGGUCUCGACGGUGAAGAAGCAGGCUGUUUCCAUCUUCAGGAUACAAGCCAUCUGCGCAUAGGAAGAGGGUCCAGAGGCUCAUCUGGAAUCCCUCCUCACUCACUGGACGGAGGACCUGACCCCGUUCCCAUCAUUGGUUCUGAAUCCAUCAGCCCAGCAAGACAGGUGUCUCCAGCAAGUUCUGUAAAAUACAACCAUAGCCGGGCCUGGAGUCAGCCCCCAAUAAAGGGUUCACCAUG